RNAcentral lists this small nuclear RNA (104 nucleotides) under Jaculus jaculus (lesser Egyptian jerboa). The record is from RNAcentral. Lineage: Eukaryota; Metazoa; Chordata; Mammalia; Rodentia; Dipodidae.
GUGCUUACUUUGGCAGCACAUAUACUAAAAUUGGAAUGAUACAGAGAUUAGCAUGGCCCCUGCGGAAGGAUGACAUGCAAAUUCAUGAAGAGUUCCAUAUUUUA